GAUGAAGAACGCAGCAAAAUGUGAUAAGUAAUGUGAAUUGCAGAAUUCAGUGAAUCAUCGAAUCUUUGAACGCACAUUGCGCCCGCCAGUAUUCUGGCGGGCAUGCCUGUUCGAGCGUCAUUUCAACCCUCAAGCACAGCUUGGUGUUGGGACUCGCGUUAAUUCGCGUUCCCCAAAUUGAUUGGCGGUCACGUCGAGCUUCCAUAGCGUAGUAGUAAAACCCUCGUUACUGGUAAUCGUCGCGGCCACGCCGUUAAACCCCAACUUCUGAAUGUUGACCUCGGAUCAGGAAGGAAUACCCGCUGAACUUAAGCAUAUCAAUAAGCGGAGGA
RNAcentral lists this unclassified non-coding RNA (332 nucleotides) under soil metagenome. RNAcentral's name for it is "partial contains 5.8S ribosomal RNA, internal transcribed spacer 2, and large subunit ribosomal RNA". The stretch from base 1 to 120 matches the Rfam family "5.8S ribosomal RNA", at positions 35 to 154 of the family's 154-position model. The record is from RNAcentral.